GUUCAAGACCAGCCUAGGCUACAUAAUGAGUUCCAGGACAAGACACGGCCAUGUGAAGGUGCUGAUGGGAAGCAGGCCCCACACCAGACCCUCCACAAGUGCAUGGGAAAGCAGAGCUGAACAGAUAAAGCAGCUUGAGGCAGUGCAUCAAAUGUGAAGAGUAGAGACUAGAAUAAUGACCCCAGUUCCAACAAUUACCAACACAAGGCCAAUUUUCUUUCCUGUGUUGUGAAACCUGUGGAAUGCCCACAGAACGAUGUACCCCAGCAGACCCUGAGAAGAGGCCCAAAGCAACUGCUAAAGGGAUCAGCAUCUUGUGGGGAGUAAGGGCCACUUAAAACAUGUGUAAAACCAAGGA
This is a long non-coding RNA of Fukomys damarensis (Damara mole-rat), 358 nucleotides long. RefSeq lists it as uncharacterized. Lineage: Eukaryota; Metazoa; Chordata; Mammalia; Rodentia; Bathyergidae. The record is from RefSeq and is a predicted model, not a curated record. The transcript has 3 exons.